Molecule: ribosomal RNA, 1552 nt
Filed under: Campylobacter jejuni
Lineage: Bacteria; Pseudomonadati; Campylobacterota; Epsilonproteobacteria; Campylobacterales; Campylobacteraceae
Description: partial 23S ribosomal RNA
Rfam family: Bacterial large subunit ribosomal RNA
Source: RNAcentral
AACAUUCUGGAAAGUAUAACCAUAGAGGGUGAUAGUCCCGUAUGCGAAAAACAAACCUUAGCUAGCAGUAUCCUGAGUAGGGCGGGACACGAGGAAUCCUGUCUGAAUCCGGGUCGACCACGAUCCAACCCUAAAUACUAAUACCAGAUCGAUAGUGCACAAGUACCGUGAGGGAAAGGUGAAAAGAACUGAGGUGAUCAGAGUGAAAUAGAACCUGAAACCAUUUGCUUACAAUCAUUCAGAGCCCUAUGUAGCAAUACAGGGUGAUGGACUGCCUUUUGCAUAAUGAGCCUGCGAGUUGUGGUGUCUGGCAAGGUUAAGCAAACGCGAAGCCGUAGCGAAAGCGAGUCUGAAUAGGGCGCUUAGUCAGAUGCUGCAGACCCGAAACGAAGUGAUCUAUCCAUGAGCAAGUUGAAGCUAGUGUAAGAACUAGUGGAGGACUGAACCCAUAGGCGUUGAAAAGCCCCGGGAUGACUUGUGGAUAGGGGUGAAAGGCCAAUCAAACUUCGUGAUAGCUGGUUCUCUCCGAAAUAUAUUUAGGUAUAGCGUUGUGUCGUAAUAUAAGGGGGUAGAGCACUGAAUGGGCUAGGGCAUACACCAAUGUACCAAACCCUAUCAAACUCCGAAUACCUUAUAUGUAAUCACAGCAGUCAGGCGGCGAGUGAUAAAAUCCGUCGUCAAGAGGGAAACAACCCAGACUACCAGCUAAGGUCCCUAAGUCUUACUUAAGUGGAAAACGAUGUGAAGUUACUUAAACAACCAGGAGGUUGGCUUAGAAGCAGCCAUCCUUUAAAGAAAGCGUAAUAGCUCACUGGUCUAGUGAUUUUGCGCGGAAAAUAUAACGGGGCUAAAGUAAGUACCGAAGCUGUAGACUUGCGCACAACUUAGAUUAUUUAAGUUUAGAAUAUGAGAAACUAAGUUAUGUUUAGUUAUAUUUUUACUGAUUUUUAUAGAGUAAAGAUAGAAAUAAAACUUAGUAAAAUCAGUAAAAAUAUUCUUAGGCUAAAGUUAAGUAGUUUAAGUUGUGUGCAAGUGGUAGGAGAGCGUUCUAUUUGCGUCGAAGGUAUACCGGUAAGGAGUGCUGGAGCGAAUAGAAGUGAGCAUGCAGGCAUGAGUAGCGAUAAUUAAUGUGAGAAUCAUUAACGCCGUAAACCCAAGGUUUCCUACGCGAUGCUCGUCAUCGUAGGGUUAGUCGGGUCCUAAGUCGAGUCCGAAAGGGGUAGACGAUGGCAAAUUGGUUAAUAUUCCAAUACCAACAUUAGUGUGCGAUGGAAGGACGCUUAGGGCUAAGGGGGCUAGCGGAUGGAAGUGCUAGUCUAAGGUCGUAGGAGGUUAUACAGGCAAAUCCGUAUAACAAUACUCCGAGAACUGAAAGGCUUUUUGAAGUCUUCGGAUGGAUAGAAGAACCCCUGAUGCCGUCGAGCCAAGAAAAGUUUCUAAGUUUAGCUAAUGUUGCCCGUACCGUAAACCGACACAGGUGGGUGGGAUGAGUAUUCUAAGGCGCGUGGAAGAACUCUCUUUAAGGAACUCUGCAAAAUAGCACCGUAUCUUC